Molecule: non-coding RNA, 714 nt
Organism: Arachis ipaensis
Lineage: Eukaryota; Viridiplantae; Streptophyta; Magnoliopsida; Fabales; Fabaceae
Source: RefSeq, a predicted model, not a curated record
UUUCUUUUACAAUAAUGCUAGGGAACCAAGAGAGGGUCCAGCCAAAAACCUGCCAACUCUUGUUGAACUGGGACCACUAAGCCCACUUCACCUCAGUAACAUCCAAAAUUCACCCAAGUAAACAAAAUUAACCUAAUUAAACUCCCUCCUCUCUUUUCACCGUUUCACCGUAGCAGAACUCCAAAACCAUCCACGGCGGCGCCACAUUUCCAGGUCCAUCGCGUCACGUUCUCCUCCACCGUCAACGGACGCAACGCUUCAGUCCACAACCUGUGGGCAAUGGCCGGCCUCCAAAGCUCGCUCCAGAAUGCCGCAAUGCUUCCAUCUCGUCAACGUGGUCACUAGCGUGUUAAUCAAAGUCUCGCCCAUCUCUGCCGCAGCGACGUCGUGCCACCCAGGUGCGAGGAACAAAUGGGUUUUCCCCUUACCAAGACUGAGCCGCUGCUGCUGCAUGUCGCUGUUGGCAGCUUUAUUGAAGCCACGUUGCUCUGCUCCGACGAAUGCAGUAGGACGUCCCCUGCCCCAGCCUCGAAGCAUCGCUUGACAAAAAUAAUUGGUUUUAUUAAAGGAUUUGGACAUGGUGUUAUGUAACUGUUUUUUGUGAACAAGCACCAGGGUUGUGUUGCCGAAAAGCCAAUCAAGAUGGGAAAAAGAAAUUAUUAGAGUCGUGAUGCUCGCCCAGGUACAUUCAUGACAUGAUGAGCAAGCUAACUA